Molecule: transfer RNA, 71 nt
Filed under: Marmota marmota marmota (Alpine marmot)
Lineage: Eukaryota; Metazoa; Chordata; Mammalia; Rodentia; Sciuridae
Also listed under: 1 other name
Rfam family: tRNA
About the family: Transfer RNA (tRNA) molecules are approximately 80 nucleotides in length. Their secondary structure includes four short double-helical elements and three loops (D, anti-codon, and T loops). Further hydrogen bonds mediate the characteristic L-shaped molecular structure. tRNAs have two regions of fundamental functional importance: the anti-codon, which is responsible for specific mRNA codon recognition, and the 3' end, to which the tRNAs corresponding amino acid is attached (by aminoacyl-tRNA synthetases). tRNAs cope with the degeneracy of the genetic code in two manners: having more than one tRNA (with a specific anti-codon) for a particular amino acid; and 'wobble' base-pairing, i.e. permitting non-standard base-pairing at the 3rd anti-codon position.
Source: Rfam by way of RNAcentral
GGGGUUGUGGCUCAGUGGUAGAGUACUUGCCUAGCAGGCAUGAGGCUCUGGGUUGGAUCCUCAGAACCACA